ACUCAUGUGUAUAGAAAAACUAAU
This 24-nucleotide non-coding RNA is filed under the name Arabidopsis thaliana (thale cress). Lineage: Eukaryota; Viridiplantae; Streptophyta; Magnoliopsida; Brassicales; Brassicaceae. The record is from RNAcentral.